RNAcentral lists this transfer RNA (67 nucleotides) under Myodes glareolus (Bank vole). Its description in RNAcentral is "tRNA-Trp". The record is from RNAcentral. Lineage: Eukaryota; Metazoa; Chordata; Mammalia; Rodentia; Cricetidae.
AAAAGUUUAGGAUACCCAGUCCAAGAGCCUUCAAAGCCCUAAGCAAACCUACAAAGUUUAACUUCUG